AGGCAAACCUCUGCCAUUAAAGAUCAAGAUAGUGGUUACCACUCCUGGCAGUGAUAAGCAGGGAGCAUAACAGAAGCGCCCAAGGUGUUGGUAGUUUUGUUUUUAAUUUGGGUGCUGAUUAGUUGGGUGUAUUCAGUUUGUGAAACUACAUCAAGCUCACAUUUACAUGCACUUUUUUGAAUGCAUAUUACACAUAAAAAAAAAUUUUUAGGAGUUCUCACUGUGGCUCAGUGGGUUAAGGAUCUGGCAUUGCCACAAGCUGUAGCGUAGGUCUCAGAUGAGGCCUGGAUCUGACAUUGCUGUGGCUGUAAUGUAGGCUGGCAGCUGCAGCCUGGAUUCGACCCCUAGCCUGGGAACUUCCAUGAGCUUCAGGCGCAGCCCUAAAAAAAAAUUUUUUUUAAAUACUAAAUAAUUCCCCCAAACAUGUUUUAUAUGUAUGUACAUUCAAAAACUGCCCAGUAUAGAUCAUUUUCUUACCUCUUGAAAAAAAAAAAUUUCAAAUUUUUCUAUAAAGAACUUGUUUUACUUUUAUAAGAAAAACAUUUAAACCAUAAGGUCAUCAUGGAAUGUAACCAGACGAUCUACAGGUGACACAGUCAUUCUUCCAGUUUUAGUCUCGAUUCAUUUCUUCAAAUUACUGAGCAACUCCGAGAUGGCAAAUACAUAGCAAUAAAUAAACCUUCAUAAUGUCAAGAAUAAUUAAAACCCCACACGAGUUCCCUGAACGCAACCAACAUUUCUCUUCUUUAAUGUGUAGUGUAUCCUGAGAGUCUGGCAACUGGCUAGGCUCUGCACUGAAAGUGGAUAUCCAAAAGUUUAUCAAGGACCAUUGGACGCUGACUUCAAAACUGUUCAAAAUAAGCCCAAAGCAUCUUAAAAAUCAGACCAGAAUUUCCAUUCUCACUCAGAUGACAUCAACCUCAAAUCGGUGGAAAUCUUGAAAAUGAUGAAAACAUGCAAGUUUAUCACAGAUCGACUGAUAAGGACAAUCAUACAACCAGCGUGCUCUUGCCAAGGUCAGAUUCCUCCCCAAUCAUUUCAUUAGCCUGGGUAUCAGCCACCACACUAUACUCCCCUCCAAAAUUCACCACGUGAUCACCAUGAAACAGACACUGUUCUGUGUGUUUCAUUAACAGAAUCUUCACAAUAACCCUAUGAGGUCAUCAUUUUAUAAAUAAGGAAACUGAAGCACAGAGACAAGAUUAGCCUAUAGAGGUCAUUUGAGAUGAACCAGCCUGAGGUGAAACUGCAAAGCAAUCUCAAUUUGUUUUUGACCUUCUGCUUGCCCCUUGUCAGUUUCCAUUCCACAAACCACCUUGGAAUGGAGUACCCUGAGAACAGGGACCAAAUACCUGGGGCUCCAAGCAUCUCUUGAAUGGAUAUGCUUCUUCCCAAGUAUCCUAGAAAGAAACCUUCUUUUGUCACAUCAUUUUUCUAAAUUAAUUGUUAAAUAAUUUCUGUUAAUUCAUUACCACAAACCAAUGUUAGAAUCAAGAUAUACUGGAUGUGGGAGUUCCCAUUGUGGCUCAGUGGUAACGAAUUUGACCAGUACCCAAAAGGAUGCAGGUUUAAUCCCUGGCCUCGUUCAAUGGGUUAAGGAUCAGGCACUUCGGUGAGCUGUAGUGAAAGUCGCAGUCAUGGCUCAGAUCCUGUGUGGCUGUGGCUGCAGUGUAGGCUGGCAGCUGCAGCUCCGAUUCAAACCCUAGUCCAGGAACUUCCAUACGCCUCGGGUAAGGCCCUACAAAGCAAGCAAACAAACAAAAAAGAUAUGCUGGAUCUGUAUUUCCCAGUCCAAUGGCUGUCUCUGCCUUCACUGUCCUCUGCUCAGCCCAGGCGUGCUGGGUUUCAAAGCAGGAUCUCUGCUCCCUCUUCACCAGGUGGUCUCUCCGUGUUUCACCUGUUGAAGCCACUACAUUACACCAAAUCAGGUUAACCAAACUUGACUCACUUCUUUCAGUUUCUGCCCAACCACCACCUCUUCAGAGGGGUCCUGCCUGACCUCCUCUGUUUAAAACAGCAGCACAUCAUCUCCACCCUCUCAAGUUGCUUUAUUUUUGUUGCUCUCCUCUAUGAUAUUUAAUAAUUCUUAUGUUCUGCUUCCUUUCUAAAUUGAAAACUGCACGAGGGCAGGGACUUUAUCUUGCUUAUUGCUGUAAUUCCACCCCUGCAACAGGAGCUGGCACAGAGGAGGUUCUCAAAUAUUUGCUGAAUCAACUGAAAGUCAGAGAGCCAUUUUUAACAUGCAGGGAAGGUAAAUCUCCUUUUCAAAAAAUACUGCCGUGGCUUAAUGAGACAGAAGACAGACAAAGAGGCAGAACAGAGAACAAAAACCAAACUGAAAAUGGAAAUUCAAGGGAAAAGUACUUAAAAUCUUGGGUUUUCUCUCUCCGUUUAGGCCUAGGGGAUAAGGGCUGAAAUGUGAAGAUGUUGGAGUGUUUUAUUCUGAACUGGGGUCAACACAGUGAGAAAAGGAUUUGUGGGAAAUUUUAGCAGUCAGGAUGCUUCUACUGAUUUUAAGUUUCAAAGGACCAAAGUGAAAAAGGAAAGUUAAGGCAGUUCCCGUCACGGCUCAGUGGUUAAUGAACCGGACUAGUAUCCAUAAGGACUCAGCUUGAUCCUUGGCCUCGCUCAGUGGGGUUAAGGAUCCAAUGUUGCUGUGAGCUGUGUUGUAGGUUAAAGAUUUGGCUUGGAGCCUGAGUGGCUGUGGCUAUGGUGAAGGCAGGUGGCUAUAGCUCUGAUUCGACCCCUAGCCUGGGAACCUCCAUAUGCCAUGGGUGGCCCUCAAAAGACAAAAGACCAAAAAAAAAAAGAAAAAAAGAAAAUUAGGAGUCUGUAAGGUUUCAUUUCUAUUAAAAUACUCUACCUGAAGUCAAAGUUAAUUUGUAUAACUAGCACUGAUCUCCUCACCAAUAGCCCAUCCCUUUCCAAGUGCUACUUCCUGUUUCCUCAAUCUAGCCUGGUCUCACUGGAUGGCCCAAACACUGAGAGACUGGGAAAAACUUACCUCAAAAACCCGGGGCGGGGGGGGGGGGGUUCUUUUUCUUUUUUUACAAAGUUACUUUUAACACUUCGAGGUGAGCUCCACAGGAAUAAAAAACACUGGGAAGGGGUAAUCCUCUCACCCUCGGGAGUGGCCCAGGGGGGACAGAGGCUACCUGAGAGGAAGGAAGCACAAAAGGGGCCCACUGCAGACUCAGGGCAAAGGCAAUGCCAUGGGUGCCGGGACCUGUGAGCACUGCAGGAGGAAACUUGACUGUGGUGGGACUGGCUCCAGGGGCACAGGCACAGGCGAAGAGCAAGAGGGUGAGACUCGGAGCUACAAUGUUUCCAGAACUAGAACAAAUAACUUUAAAAUGUGUAUGGAAACUCAAAAGAUCUCCAAUAGCCAAAAUAAUCUUGAGAAAGAAUAACAGAGCUGGAGCAAUCAUGCUGAUCUCAGGCUGUACUAUGAAGCUACAGUCAUCAAAAUAAUAUGGUACUGGCACAAAAACAGAUACAGAGAUCAACGGAACAGGACAGAGAGCCCAAAAAUAGACCCAUGUACAUAUACGGUCGAUUAAUCCAUGACGAAGGAGAUAAGAAAUACACAAUGUGGAAAAGAUGGUCUUUUAAUAAGUGGUACUGGGGAAACUAGACAGCUAUAUGUAAAACAAUGAAAUCAGGACAUUCUCUAACACCACAUACAAAAAUAAACUCAAAAUGGAGUAAAGAACUAAAUUUAAGACUGGAUAUUAUAAAACUUGACAAAAAAGUAGGUAGAACACACUUUGAAAUAAACCACAGCAAUAUUUUUUUGGAUCCAUCUCCUAAAGUAAAGGAAAAAGUAAAGGGGCCUUAAUUAAACUUAGUAGCUUUUGCACAGCUAAAAAAAACAAACCAAAAAAAACCCAUCAACAAGACAAAAAGACAGCAUACCAAAAGGGAGAAAAUAUUUGCAAAUGACAUGACCAAUAAGUGAUUAAUAUCCAACAUAUAUAAGCAUCUCAUACAACUCGACAUCCAAAAACCCCAAAGAACUCAAUUAAUACAUGGGCAGAAGAAAUGAAUAGACAUUUUUUCCAAAGAGGAAAUGCAGAUGGACAACUGGCACAGGAAAAGAUGCUCAACAUUAUUAAUUACGAGGGAAAUGCAAAUCAAAACCACAAUGGGGUAUUACUUCACACCUGUCAAGAUGACUAUCAUCAAAAAGAACACAAAAAACAAAUGCUGGUGAGGAUGUGGAGAAAAAGGAACCCUUGCACACUGUAGGAAUAUUACUUGGUGCAGCCACUGUAGAAAACAGUAUCGAGGUUCCUCAGAAAACAAAAAGAACUACUACAUGAUCCAGCAAUUCUACUCCUGGGAAUUUAUCUGAAAAACACAAAAACAUGAAUUUGAAAAGAUAUUUGCACCCCAAUGUUGACAGCACCAUUAUUUACAAUUAUCAAUAUAUGGAAACAAUGAAAUUGUCCACCAAAAGAUGAAUGGAUAAAGAAGUGGUAUAUACAUAUAAUGGAGGAGUGCCUGUUGUGACACAGCGGAAACAAAUCUGACUAGGAACCAUGAGGUUGCGGGUUCAAUCCCUAGCCUUCCUCAGCGGGUUAAGGAUCC
RNAcentral lists this long non-coding RNA (4590 nucleotides) under Sus scrofa (pig). RNAcentral describes it as "lncRNA (ENSSSCG00040030313.1)". The record is from RNAcentral. Lineage: Eukaryota; Metazoa; Chordata; Mammalia; Artiodactyla; Suidae.